AUGCACUAGGUGGGGCGUUAGCGGUGCCUUGUAACCUGCAAUCCGCUAUAGCAGGGCUUAUUACCAAAGGGAGGUUUUCAAAGGGUGUGGCAGUCAUUUGUAAGUGGUGUUGACAAGUGGGUCCUUACGCAAUAAAGCUUUAUGAACGGGUCAGGUCUUGACGGAAGCAGCCAUAAGUAAAAUACUUUAUGUGCCGUGAGAUUGCUUAUUUAGAGCUAACUGCAAAUGUAACGUGCAUUCUUUGUUAAACGACCUUUGGGUGUGCUU
RNAcentral lists this signal recognition particle RNA (267 nucleotides) under Tissierellia bacterium KA00581. Its description in RNAcentral is "Bacterial large signal recognition particle RNA". It matches the Rfam family "Bacterial large signal recognition particle RNA". Rfam says of the family: The signal recognition particle (SRP) is a universally conserved ribonucleoprotein involved in the co-translational targeting of proteins to membranes. Archaeal SRP consists of a 7S RNA and homologues of the eukaryotic SRP19 and SRP54 proteins. In most bacteria, the SRP consists of a 4.5S RNA and the Ffh protein (a homologue of the eukaryotic SRP54 protein). Lineage: Bacteria; Bacillati; Bacillota; Tissierellia. The record is from Rfam by way of RNAcentral.